This 466-nucleotide ribosomal RNA is filed under the name Bacillus zhangzhouensis. Its description in RNAcentral is "bacterial SSU rRNA". Lineage: Bacteria; Bacillati; Bacillota; Bacilli; Caryophanales; Bacillaceae. The record is from RNAcentral.
GUCCUWCGGGGGGGGSUGCCAGUAGGGAAUCUUCCGCAAUGGACGAAAGUCUGACGGAGCAACGCCGCGUGAGUGAUGAAGGUUUUCGGAUCGUAAAGCUCUGUUGUUAGGGAAGAACAAGUGCGAGAGUAACUGCUCGCACCUUGACGGUACCUAACCAGAAAGCCACGGCUAACUACGUGCCAGCAGCCGCGGUAAUACGUAGGUGGCAAGCGUUGUCCGGAAUUAUUGGGCGUAAAGGGCUCGCAGGCGGUUUCUUAAGUCUGAUGUGAAAGCCCCCGGCUCAACCGGGGAGGGUCAUUGGAAACUGGGAAACUUGAGUGCAGAAGAGGAGAGUGGAAUUCCACGUGUAGCGGUGAAAUGCGUAGAGAUGUGGAGGAACACCAGUGGCGAAGGCGACUCUCUGGUCUGUAACUGACGCUGAGGAGCGAAAGCGUGGGGAGCGAACAGGAUUAGAUACCCCCGG